RNAcentral lists this transfer RNA (76 nucleotides) under Trachymyrmex septentrionalis. It matches the Rfam family "tRNA". From Rfam's summary of the family: Transfer RNA (tRNA) molecules are approximately 80 nucleotides in length. The record is from Rfam by way of RNAcentral. Lineage: Eukaryota; Metazoa; Arthropoda; Insecta; Hymenoptera; Formicidae.
AUCUUGGUAGUCUACUAAAGGCUUAGAACGUUUGCAUGGAAUGCAAGAGAUACGGGUUUAAUUCCCGAUCGAGGUA